This 1247-nucleotide ribosomal RNA is filed under the name Strawberry X-Redness phytoplasma. Its description in RNAcentral is "bacterial SSU rRNA". It matches the Rfam family "Bacterial small subunit ribosomal RNA", at positions 153 to 1399 of the family's 1533-position model. The record is from RNAcentral. Lineage: Bacteria; Bacillati; Mycoplasmatota; Mollicutes; Acholeplasmatales; Acholeplasmataceae.
GAAACGACUGCUAAGACUGGAUAGGAAAAGUAAAGGCAUCUUUACUUUUUUAAAAGACCUUCUUUGAAGGUAUACUUGAGGAGGGGCUUGCGACACAUUAGUUAGUUGGCAGGGUAAAGGCCUACCAAGACUAUGAUGUGUAGCUGGACUGAGAGGUUGAACAGCCACAUUGGGACUGAGACACGGCCCAAACUCCUACGGGAGGCAGCAGUAGGGAAUUUUCGGCAAUGGAGGAAACUCUGACCGAGCAACGCCGCGUGAACGAUGAAGUACCUCGGUAUGUAAAGUUCUUUUAUUAAGGAAGAAAAAAGAGUGGAAAAACUCCCUUGACGGUACUUAAUGAAUAAGCCCCGGCUAAUUAUGUGCCAGCAGCCGCGGUAAUACAUAAAGGGCGAGCGUUAUCCGGAAUUAUUGGGCGUAAAGGGUGCGUAGGCGGUUUAAUAAGUUUAUAGUUUAAUUUCAGCGCUUAACGCUGUUGUGCUAUAGAAACUGUUUUACUAGAGUGAGUUAGGGGCAAGCGGAAUUCCAUGUGUAGCGGUAAAAUGCGUAAAUAUAUGGAGGAACACCAGAGGCGUAGGCGGCUUGCUGGGACUUUACUGACGCUGAGGCACGAAAGCGUGGGGAGCAAACAGGAUUAGAUACCCUGGUAGUCCACGCCGUAAACGAUGAGUACUAAGUGUCGGGUAAAACCGGUACUGAAGUUAACACAUUAGGUACUCCGCCUGAGUAGUAUGUACGCAAGUAUGAAACUUAAAGGAAUUGACGGGACUCCGCACAAGCGGUGGAUCAUGUUGUUUAAUCCGAAGAUACACGAAAAACCUUACCAGGUCUUGACAUUUUCUUGCGAAGUUAUAGAAAUAUAAUGGAGGUUAUCAGGAAAACAGGUGGUGCAUGGUUGUCGUCAGCUCGUGUCGUGAGAUGUUAGGUUAAGUCCUAAAACGAGCGCAACCCUUGUCGUUAAUUGCCAGCAUAUAAUGGUGGGGACUUUAACGAGACUGCCAAUGAAAAAUUGGAGGAAGGUGGGGAUUACGUCAAAUCAUCAUGCCCCUUAUGAUCUGGGCUGCAAACGUGAUACAAUGGUUGAUACAAAGAGUAGCUGAAACGCGAGUUCUUAGCCAAUCUCAAAAAAUCAAUCUCAGUUCGGAUUGAAGUCUGCAACUCGACUUCAUGAAGUUGGAAUCGCUAGUAAUCGCGAAUCAGCAUGUCGCGGUGAAUACGUUCUCGGGGUUUGUACACACCGCCCGUCA